This 231-nucleotide long non-coding RNA is filed under the name Elaeis guineensis (African oil palm). Its description in RNAcentral is "long non-coding RNA (EGUI_LNC046966)". Lineage: Eukaryota; Viridiplantae; Streptophyta; Magnoliopsida; Arecales; Arecaceae. The record is from RNAcentral.
UAAUCAUAUCCAACCCUUGGACAUCUUUAGAAGAGAGGAAGAGGCUAAAAUCAGAUUAAAUUUGAUUUUGAUGUCCAACUCUUGGACAAGAGGAGAGAGGGAAUAUUUGUGUCCAUCUCAUGGACCAAGAGAGAAAGAAAAAUCAAAUCAAAUCUGAUUUCUAUAUCCAACUUUUGGACCUCUAUGUAAGAGAGGAAGAAGGAGUGUCCAACUCUUGGACAAAGGAGAGAG